UUGAUCCUGGCUCAGGAUGAACGCUGGCGGCGUGCUUAACACAUGCAAGUCGAACGAACCUUCGGGUUAGUGGCGGACGGGUGAGUAACGCGUGAGAAUCUGCCCUCAGGAGGGGGAUAACGGCUGGAAACGGCCGCUAAUACCCCAUAUGCCGAGAGGUGAAACGAAAUUCGCCUGAGGAUGAGCUCGCGUCUGAUUAGCUAGUUGGUGGGGUAAGGGCCCACCAAGGCUUCGAUCAGUAGCUGGUCUGAGAGGAUGAUCAGCCACACUGGGACUGAGACACGGCCCAGACUCCUACGGGAGGCAGCAGUGGGGAAUUUUCCGCAAUGGGCGAAAGCCUGACGGAGCAACGCCGCGUGAGGGAUGAAGGCCUCUGGGCUGUAAACCUCUUUUCUCAAGGAAGAAGAUCUGACGGUACUUGAGGAAUAAGCCACGGCUAAUUCCGUGCCAGCAGCCGCGGUAAUACGGGAGUGGCAAGCGUUAUCCGGAAUUAUUGGGCGUAAAGCGUCCGCAGGCGGCCUUGUAAGUCUGUCGUUAAAGCGUGGAGCUUAACUCCAUUAAAGCGAUGGAAACUACAGGGCUUGAGUGUGGUAGGGGCAGAGGGAAUUCCCGGUGUAGCGGGUGAAAUGCGUAGAUAUCGGGAAGAACACCAGUGGCGAAGGCGCUCUGCUGGGCCAUAACUGACGCUCAUGGGACGAAAGCCAGGGGAGCGAAAAGGGAUUAGAUACCCCUGUAGUCCUGGCCGUAAACGAUGAACACUAGGUGUCGGGGGGAAUCGACCCCCCUCGGUGUCGUAGCCAACGCGUUAAGUGUUCCGCCUGGGGAGUACGCACGCAAGUGUGAAACUCAAAGGAAUUGACGGGGGCCCGCACAAGCGGUGGAGUAUGUGGUUUAAUUCGAUGCAACGCGAAGAACCUUACCAGGGUUUGACAUCCUGCGAACCCCUUGGAAACGAGGGGGUGCCUUCGGGAGCGCAGAGACAGGUGGUGCAUGGCUGUCGUCAGCUCGUGUCGUGAGAUGUUGGGUUAAGUCCCGCAACGAGCGCAACCCACGUCGUUAGUUGCCAGCAUUCAGUUGGGCACUCUAGCGAGACCGCCGGUGAUAAACCGGAGGAAGGUGUGGAUGACGUCAAGUCAUCAUGCCCCUUACAUCCUGGGCUACACACGUACUACAAUGCUACGGACAAAGGGCAGCAAACUCGCGAGAGCUAGCAAAUCCCAUAAACCGUGGCUCAGUUCAGACCGUAGGCUGCAACUCGCCUACGUGAAGGAGGAAUCGCUAGUAAUCGCAGGUCAGCAUACUGCGGUGAAUACGUUCCCGGGCCUUGUACACACCGCCCGUCACACCAUGGAAGUUGGCCACGCCCGAAGCCGUUACUCCAACCCUUGUGGAGGAGGAUGUCGAAGGUGGGGCUGAUGACUGGGGUGAAGUCGUAACAAGGUAGCCGU
RNAcentral lists this ribosomal RNA (1448 nucleotides) under uncultured Synechococcus sp. RNAcentral's name for it is "16S ribosomal RNA". It matches the Rfam family "Bacterial small subunit ribosomal RNA". The record is from RNAcentral. Lineage: Bacteria; Bacillati; Cyanobacteriota; Cyanophyceae; Synechococcales; Synechococcaceae.